GGUCCUCACUCACAAAGUGGCGGUGACAUGUCAUGCCGUGCAAUCAUAUCACAGCCAUCUUUGAUGAGUGAGGCCCC
This is a non-coding RNA of Cordylochernes scorpioides, 77 nucleotides long. The record is from the annotation of a GenBank genome assembly. Lineage: Eukaryota; Metazoa; Arthropoda; Arachnida; Pseudoscorpiones; Chernetidae.